This 227-nucleotide ribosomal RNA is filed under the name uncultured bacterium. Its description in RNAcentral is "partial 16S ribosomal RNA". It matches the Rfam family "Bacterial small subunit ribosomal RNA", at positions 15 to 244 of the family's 1533-position model. The record is from RNAcentral.
GAUCCUGGCUCAGGAUGAACGCUGGCGGCGUGCCUAAUACAUGCAAGUCGAACGCCUCACAUAUGUGAAGAGUGGCGAACGGGUGAGUAAUACAUAAGUAACCUGGCCUUUACAGGGGGAUAACUAUUGGAAACGAUAGCUAAGACCGCAUAGGUGUCAUAACCGCAUGGAGAUGAUAUGAAAUAUGCUACGGCAUAGGUAGAGGAUGGGACUUAUGGCGCGAUUAG